Molecule: long non-coding RNA, 205 nt
Filed under: Elaeis guineensis (African oil palm)
Lineage: Eukaryota; Viridiplantae; Streptophyta; Magnoliopsida; Arecales; Arecaceae
Description: long non-coding RNA (EGUI_LNC065719)
Source: RNAcentral
UACCGAACUUCAUCAAGUUCGACCUUAGAGGCAACAGUCCCUUCACCAAGGAACUUCUUUUCCAAAAAGAUUGCCUUAAGGCAGACAAACACUUUUUGCUCAUCAGCUAGGUAGAAGUAAUAUCUUUUGGUCUCUUUUGGGUACCCUAUAAAAUUAUACUUGUCAGACCUAGGUCCAAGCUUGUCCGUAAUUAAACGUUUAACAU